UCCCUGGUCAUGGCCAUCUAAACUGGCUUA
RNAcentral lists this non-coding RNA (30 nucleotides) under Rattus norvegicus (Norway rat). The record is from RNAcentral. Lineage: Eukaryota; Metazoa; Chordata; Mammalia; Rodentia; Muridae.